UACAGAGGGUGCAAGCGUUAAUCGGAUUUACUGGGCGUAAAGGGUGCGUAGGUGGCUAUUUAAGUCGGAUGUGAAAGCCCGGGGCUCAACCUCGGAAUUGCAUUCGAUACUGAGUGGCUAGAGUUCGGUAGAGGGCGGCGGAAUUUCCGGUGUAGCGGUGAAAUGCGUAGAUAUCGGAAGGAACAUCAAUGGCGAAGGCAGCCGCCUGGGCCUGGACUGACACUGAGGCACGAAAGCGUGGGGAGCAAACAGG
RNAcentral lists this ribosomal RNA (253 nucleotides) under uncultured bacterium. Its description in RNAcentral is "partial 16S ribosomal RNA". It matches the Rfam family "Bacterial small subunit ribosomal RNA", at positions 524 to 776 of the family's 1533-position model. The record is from RNAcentral.